CCUACGGGGGGCAGCAGUGGGGAAUAUUGGACAAUGGGCGCAAGCCUGAUCCAGCCAUGCCGCGUGAGUGAAGAAGGCCUUAGGGUUGUAAAGCUCUUUCGGCGGGGACGAUGAUGACGGUACCCGCAGAAGAAGCUCCGGCUAACUCCGUGCCAGCAGCCGCGGUAAUACGGAGGGGGCUAGCGUUGUUCGGAAUUACUGGGCGUAAAGCGCGCGUAGGCGGUGCGAUUAGUCAGGCGUGAAAGGCCCGGGCUCAACCCGGGAACGGCGCUUGAUACUAUGGUGCUAGAGUCCGGGAGAGGAUGGCGGAAUUCCCAGUGUAGAGGUGAAAUUCGUAGAUAUUGGGAAGAACACCGGUGGCGAAGGCGGCCAUCUGGCCUGGAACUGACGCUGAGGCGCGACAGCGUGGGGAGCAAACAGGAUUAGAUACCCUGGUAGUC
This 440-nucleotide ribosomal RNA is filed under the name uncultured bacterium. RNAcentral's name for it is "bacterial SSU rRNA". It matches the Rfam family "Bacterial small subunit ribosomal RNA", at positions 338 to 795 of the family's 1533-position model. The record is from RNAcentral.